Molecule: long non-coding RNA, 1964 nt
Filed under: Gallus gallus (chicken)
Lineage: Eukaryota; Metazoa; Chordata; Aves; Galliformes; Phasianidae
Source: RNAcentral
AGCAAAAGGCUCUUGGAGGAUAAGUAUGGGGGCACUGCUGAGUGCUGUGUGCCUUAAGGCAACCAAAGAUGCCACGGAAUCCUUGAAUAUCCCAAGAUGGAAAGGACCCGUAAGGAUCAUUGAGUCAAAGCUCCUGCCCUGCCCAUGGCUGACACCCAGCAUAGCCACUGUCCCAUGCAGCUGUUACCUUCCACAGAUCCUGCUUCAGGAAGGAAACCUUCCCCUGGUAUCCAGCCCUGCGGGCCCGGUACCUGGCAAGCCACAGCAGCCAGGGGUUGAGCUCGUAGCCGACAGCUGGCCGGAGUCCUUGCUUGUAAGCUUCAAUCACGAGUCGGCCGUCCCCGGAGCCCAGAUCUGCCGUCUUCCCCGUGCGGCCUCGCAGCAGUCCCAUCACAUUGGCCACUUGUUGGGCACUGGAUGGCACAUACGGCACCUGCAGAUGCAGCGGCACCCGGCGGAAGCCAGGCAUGAGCACAGCAGCCCACACUGCAUAGGCAGCCAGGCCGGUGGUGGCUGCCAGCUGCAGCAGCCCGCGGCCCCCCAGGGCCUCCCCCUGCAGCUGCCCCGCCAGCUCGUCCAGCGCCUCCGCGUCCAUUGCUGCCGGAAGGGGCGGCCCCGAGAACACCCGGGCCUUCCGUUGCCUGCAUGGCCACGCGCCCGCUGGGUGCCUUUCACCCACUGCUCGGCUGCCAGCACCGAGGCUUUGGCUGGGGCUGCUGAAGGUGGCAGCUCCCGGCGUGGUUGUGCACGCUUUGCACGCUUGUGCAACUAAUGCAUGCUUGCACACGCCCACGCGUGCUUGCACGUGGUUGUGCACGGUUGUGCGUCCACGCUUGGAGCUCGGUUAGCUCCCCACUGCCGCUGGCCCCGUGAGGCUGUGGGAAAAUUCCAGCCCGCGGGUCGCAGCGGGGGACCCGUGCCCACCCUCAAUUAAAACCCAAACCCGGGAACAAUACCACAUCAAUUAGGGGAGCGGUGCACAAAGGGCAGGCAGCUUCCCAGCCCUGUGCCGGCGGUUGCUGACGCAUCAUCGCACCGCACGUCCUACGGCCUCUGCCUUCCUCCCUAUAUCCCCCAUGCCCAUAGUAACGAUUUUGGGGUGGCUCCCAGCACCCUGACCCCAAGAACCUGGGGCCUACCCCGAAUCCUAAGGGGAACCCCGUGUCCCUGUGAUGGGGUGACAUUGCUGUGCUCCCAGGGGCUGCUCGGUGUCAUUCAGCCCCCAUUAAGAACGUGUCCCAGGGCAGUGAUGGGAACGGGGCACACCAUGGGGACAAAAGGCCAUUUUUAAUAUUGAUAUCUAUUUAUAUUUGCAUAAAUGAAUCACCUCGUGCCAUGUGGGUAAACAUUCUUCAAAACCUCCCUGCUGUUUAUCCACAAGGAGAAAUCACUCAUGGCCAUGUCCCUGUGCAGCACCACUGCAUGGCAUGGGGCUCAAUGGCAGCGGGGGGGCGGUAGGAGCUUCCCCCCCCCAGUGCUAUGAGACAGCCCUAGCGUGGCUGCAGCCAAAUGAGACAUGGGGAUCACUCUGAUUUUCCGCGGCUCGCUGGCAGGUGGAGCCAAUUAGGCUGAGAGUGAGCAGAAAAUCAAGGAAAUAGGAUCCAGGGGCUCAGGGCUGGGGGUUUGGGCAGCACAGGGAGGGGAGGAGGAGGGGGAAAACCCCAGGGUGCAGCUUGAGCACCCCAGGAUGCCAGAGGGAGGGUGAUGAACGAAGCCAUUCCCACACACAGGGUGCUGGGGGUCGUGGCGUGGUGCUGGGCUGAGCAGGUGGCCAUGCGUGGGGAGCGUUGGAGCCCCGGUGCCUCUCAUCCCUCGUUGCUCCCCCCGUCGAGGCUGCGGCGGCUGCAAAGCGGCUCCAAGAGCUGGGAAUUUGUCACCAUGCUCUGGGAAAGCUCCUUCCCACCAGCUGUCAGCAUCGCCAGGGGUCCCGGGGGUCGGAUUUGGUGUGGUUAAAGCUGGAGGGG